GUUUUCUAUUUAUUUUGAAAUGCCCGAUCUUGUCUGAUCUCAGAUGUAAAGUAGGGUUAAGCCUGGUUAGUACUUGGAUUGGAGACUGCCUAGGAAUAUCAGGUGCUGUAAGCU
Molecule: ribosomal RNA, 114 nt
Filed under: Danio rerio (zebrafish)
Lineage: Eukaryota; Metazoa; Chordata; Actinopteri; Cypriniformes; Danionidae
Source: RNAcentral